Long non-coding RNA from Homarus americanus (American lobster), 971 nucleotides. RefSeq lists it as uncharacterized. NCBI's taxonomy places the organism in Eukaryota, Metazoa, Arthropoda, Malacostraca, Decapoda, Nephropidae. The record is from RefSeq and is a predicted model, not a curated record. The transcript has 2 exons.
AUAUGUAACUGUAUAUUCUCAGCCUUCUGGCUGCCAAGCUCUUUCAAUAAACCGUUAAUUAUUAUUAUUAUUAUUAACCUGGGCAUGCUACCCUAACGCGCCCCGGGGGUUUAGUUAGCUGCGUUGUCAACAGAUGGUGUUGAUCAGAGCUCAGUGGCUCUCAUUUUUAUCAGUAAAGCUAGACGCUUUCCCGUCCUUCUUAUUAUAGUCUUUGAUCGAGUGUCAUGCGCACAAAUCAAAAGCAGCGUCUGCGUAUAAGGAAUAGCUAACGCGUUAGCUAUUCAGUGCAUCGAAAACGCCUUACAAUAACCGCCUUAAAGUAUGUAUGGUAAUGAUUGGUAGUUUCGUAGUUCUUUGUAAAUUAUCAUAUAAAUAUUUUUAAUACAUGAGCUUAGUUCAUGGGGAUAUAUUUAUACAUAAGAAUAAUGGAAAUUAGUUUGUUUACAACUUAACUACCAUGAACAGUCAUCACGAUAGUUUGGUCUGCUUGAGGUGCCGAAUCACGUAUUAUUUUUUGAUGUAAAACAUCGUAUUUAGCGUCUAAUUAAUUGAAUAAAUGCAUAUAUAAUAGUCUAAUAUUAAUAAAUCUUUAUAUAAUAUACUGGUAAUAAAAUCUAAUUUGAUUUUAGUGAGAUUUAAGGAAUUAAUACUGAUUUAUUAUCAAACGCUGGCAACCCGUGAGUGAGGAGACGAGUCGACGGGUUAAUGUUGAACCACCUGUUGUGAGAGGAGGACGUGGCCGGUGCUGUGUCCUGUGACCUAAACGUGGAUUAUCUUGUCGACAGUUUGAACAGCCGCCCAGAGGUGCUCCUAUCUUUAGCUAAAUCAGUGAGGAACUAUUUAUCCAGGUUUGGAAAAUGUGUAGUGGUGUGGUGGCUCACUGGCAAGGUGACCUUUGUGGAUGACGGAGGCCUCGGCUUCGACUGAAGACGUGUUGAACUGGACGAGUCAGAGGCAGUAUUUUAAAUGGU